RNAcentral lists this ribosomal RNA (141 nucleotides) under uncultured eukaryote. RNAcentral's name for it is "partial 18S ribosomal RNA". It matches the Rfam family "Eukaryotic small subunit ribosomal RNA", at positions 1299 to 1458 of the family's 1831-position model. The record is from RNAcentral.
UGGUGGAGUGAUUUGUCUGGUUAAUUCCGAUAACGAACGAGACCUUAACCUGCUAAAUAGUCACGGGAAGCACAUUGCUUGCCGCUUGGCUUCUUAGAGGGACAAUCUGCUUCCAGCAGAUGGAAGUGUGAGGCAAUAACA